UAGAGAUCUUUCGGGAUCUUGAGAGCGGCGUACGGGUGCGGAACACGUGUGCAACCUGCCUUUAUCUGGGGGAUAGCCUUUCGAAAGGAAGAUUAAUACCCCAUAAUAUAUUGAAUGGCAUCAUUUGAUAUUGAAAACUCCGGUGGAUAGAGAUGGGCACGCGCAAGAUUAGAUAGUUGGUGAGGUAACGGCUCACCAAGUCAGCGAUCUUUAGGGGGCCUGAGAGGGUGAUCCCCCACACUGGUACUGAGACACGGACCAGACUCCUACGGGAGGCAGCAGUGAGGAAUAUUGGACAAUGGGUGAGAGCCUGAUCCAGCCAUCCCGCGUGAAGGACGACGGCCCUAUGGGUUGUAAACUUCUUUUGUAUAGGGAUAAACCUACCCUCGUGAGGGUAGCUGAAGGUACUAUACGAAUAAGCACCGGCUAACUCCGUGCCAGCAGCCGCGGUAAUACGGAGGGUGCAAGCGUUAUCCGGAUUUAUUGGGUUUAAAGGGUCCGUAGGCUGAUUUGUAAGUCAGUGGUGAAAUCUCACAGCUUAACUGUGAAACUGCCAUUGAUACUGCAAGUCUUGAGUGUUGUUGAAGUAGCUGGAAUAAGUAGUGUAGCGGUGAAAUGCAUAGAUAUUACUUAGAACACCAAUUGCGAAGGCAGGUUACUAAGCAACAACUGACGCUGAUGGACGAAAGCGUGGGGAGCGAACAGGAUUAGAUACCCUGGUAGUCCACGCCGUAAACGAUGCUAACUCGUUUUUGGGCUUUUGGGUUCAGAGACUAAGCGAAAGUGAUAAGUUAGCCACCUGGGGAGUACGAACGCAAGUUUGAAACUCAAAGGAAUUGACGGGGGCCCGCACAAGCGGUGGAUUAUGUGGUUUAAUUCGAUGAUACGCGAGGAACCUUACCAAGGCUUAAAUGGGAAAUGACAGGCUUAGAAAUAGGCUUUUCUUCGGACAUUUUUCAAGGUGCUGCAUGGUUGUCGUCAGCUCGUGCCGUGAGGUGUUAGGUUAAGUCCUGCAACGAGCGCAACCCCUGUCACUAGUUGCCAUCAUUAAGUUGGGGACUCUAGUGAGACUGCCUACGCAAGUAGAGAGGAAGGUGGGGAUGACGUCAAAUCAUCACGGCCCUUACGCCUUGGGCCACACACGUAAUACAAUGGCCGGUACAGAGGGCAGCUACACUGCGAAGUGAUGCAAAUCUCGAAAGCCGGUCUCAGUUCGGAUUGGAGUCUGCAACUCGACUCUAUGAAGCUGGAAUCGCUAGUAAUCGCGCAUCAGCCAUGGCGCGGUGAAUACGUUCCCGGGCCUUGUACACACCGCCCGUCAAGCCAUGGAAGUCUGGGGUACCUGAAGUCGG
This 1352-nucleotide ribosomal RNA is filed under the name Chryseobacterium sp. Its description in RNAcentral is "bacterial SSU rRNA". It matches the Rfam family "Bacterial small subunit ribosomal RNA", at positions 70 to 1430 of the family's 1533-position model. The record is from RNAcentral. Lineage: Bacteria; Pseudomonadati; Bacteroidota; Flavobacteriia; Flavobacteriales; Weeksellaceae.